AAUCAACGCUGGCGGCGCGCCUAACACAUGCAAGUCGCACGAGAAAGGCUCCUUCGGGGGCUGAGUACAGUGGCGCACGGGUGAGUAACACGUGGAUACCUGCCCUCAAGUGGGGAAUAA
This 120-nucleotide ribosomal RNA is filed under the name uncultured bacterium. RNAcentral describes it as "partial 16S ribosomal RNA". It matches the Rfam family "Bacterial small subunit ribosomal RNA", at positions 32 to 146 of the family's 1533-position model. The record is from RNAcentral.